CAGCCGCCACGGGAAUACGUAGGUGGCAAGCGUUGUCCGGAAUUAUUGGGCGUAAAGGGCUCGCAGGCGGUUUCUUAAGUCUGAUGCGAAAGCCCCCGGCUCAACCGGGGAGGGUCAUUGGAAACUGGGAAACUUGAGUGCAGAAGAGGAGAGUGGAAUUCCACGUGUAGCGGUGAAAUGCGUAGAGAUGUGGAGGAACACCAGUGGCGAAGGCGACUCUCUGGUCUGUAACUGACGCUGAGGAGCGAAAGCGUGGGGAGCGAACAGGAUUAGAUACCCCUGUAGUCCCUGUCUCUUAUAC
Molecule: ribosomal RNA, 301 nt
Filed under: uncultured bacterium
Lineage: Bacteria
Description: partial 16S ribosomal RNA
Rfam family: Bacterial small subunit ribosomal RNA
Source: RNAcentral